CCCUCUGUAGCUCAGCGGAAGAGCACCGACCUUCUAAGUCAGGAUGCCGCUGGUUCGAACCCAGCCAGAGGGA
Molecule: transfer RNA, 73 nt
Filed under: Microbacterium lacticum
Lineage: Bacteria; Bacillati; Actinomycetota; Actinomycetes; Micrococcales; Microbacteriaceae
Rfam family: tRNA
About the family: Transfer RNA (tRNA) molecules are approximately 80 nucleotides in length. Their secondary structure includes four short double-helical elements and three loops (D, anti-codon, and T loops). Further hydrogen bonds mediate the characteristic L-shaped molecular structure. tRNAs have two regions of fundamental functional importance: the anti-codon, which is responsible for specific mRNA codon recognition, and the 3' end, to which the tRNAs corresponding amino acid is attached (by aminoacyl-tRNA synthetases). tRNAs cope with the degeneracy of the genetic code in two manners: having more than one tRNA (with a specific anti-codon) for a particular amino acid; and 'wobble' base-pairing, i.e. permitting non-standard base-pairing at the 3rd anti-codon position.
Source: Rfam by way of RNAcentral